This 69-nucleotide transfer RNA is filed under the name Podiceps cristatus (great crested grebe). RNAcentral describes it as "tRNA-Thr". The record is from RNAcentral. Lineage: Eukaryota; Metazoa; Chordata; Aves; Podicipediformes; Podicipedidae.
ACUCUAAUAGUUUAUUAAAAACAUUGGUCUUGCACUCAAAAUAAAAAUCGCAUUUUUUCCCAACCUCCC